AAAACGGUCCUUUUCAGGACCAACCAAUUAGACCACAGUAUUACCG
Molecule: non-coding RNA, 46 nt
Organism: Acyrthosiphon pisum (pea aphid)
Lineage: Eukaryota; Metazoa; Arthropoda; Insecta; Hemiptera; Aphididae
Source: Rfam